UAGGAGGUAGAAAUAAUUAAUAACAUAUCUCUGAACACAAGUGUCCUCAGAUCCACAUCGUGUUUCCACUUUUCCCUCACUCUUCCACCUCCACGAUGACUGCAUUACCGUCCACCACUCCAGUUGGCGUUAACUAUUCUUCUCCAUCAACAUCCUCAAGCUUGGGACAUAUUUAAUCAUGACAUGAAAGAUGGUUGGGGUCUCGCAACUGAUGGGAAAGUCUUGUUUGGAAGUGAUGGCAGUUCCACAUUGUAUAAAAUUGAUCCUCAAACAUUUAAAGCUUUUUAACUUGACGUCAAUAAUGCACUCACAAAAUUUGGAGAUGAGAACGGGAAGGCAAUUGCUUGGGUGAAAGCUUUCAUCCAAUUAGCUAAGGUUGUAAGUACCGGUAAAGUUACACGCAAAGAUCGUGAUAAAGCUUGGAAUGAACUUCAAAGAGCUGCCAAAGCGAAGAAAACAAGACCAUUUUAUCGGGUUGUGGACAAAAACGGUUUUAAUGUUAGCAGGGCAUAGGAAUUGUAGGAGAGCAACAUGAGAAAGUAUCAAGUUUAGAUGACGUGUACAAUAAUUUCUUCAGCCUAUAGGUGUGCGAAAACCUUCUUCCUUCACAUUCUCAUUAUGACAAUGGUUGGGACAACGGGUCAUUGGAUAACAAUUCUUUAUCUUGUAGUCAUUAAGUCUUCUUGAUGUGUUUUUUUUAGAUUUUUCAACAUUAGGUGUAAAACAGGUACAAUGUUUGGGCACAGAGCACAAUGGGGGAAAAUAGGCUAUACAAUAAACGGUUUUUUUUUAAUUUUUAAAUCAUUUAGCGUCGGUCAUUCCGACUCCACAAAUUUUUGUUGACUUUUGAAUAUUGACUUUAGCAUUGGUGUGACCGACUCUAAAAUUUAUUUGACUACUUAAAUGUUGACUUUAGAAUUUGC
Molecule: long non-coding RNA, 923 nt
Filed under: Medicago truncatula (barrel medic)
Lineage: Eukaryota; Viridiplantae; Streptophyta; Magnoliopsida; Fabales; Fabaceae
Description: lncRNA gene20567
Source: RNAcentral